ACUGCUCAGUAACACGUGGAUAACAUGCCCUAAGGUGGGGGAUAAUCUCGGGAAACUGAGGAUAAUACCCCAUAGAUCUUGAAUGCUGGAAUGCUUCUAGGUCGAAAACUCCGGUGCCUUAGGAUUGGUCUGCGGUCUAUCAGGCUGUAGUGGGUGUAACGGACCCACUAGCCCGUGACGGAUAUGGGCCUUGAGAGAGGGUGCCCAGAGAUGGACUCUGAGACAUGAGUCCAGGCCCUACGGGGCGCAGCAGUCGCGAAAACUUCGCAAUGGGGGAAACCCCGACGAGGGAAUUCCAAGUGCCAGCACUUUGUGUUGGCUGUUCUUCUGUCUAAAAAACAGGAGAAGUAAGGGGCGGGUAAGACGGGUGUCAGCCGCCGCGGUAAUACCCGCGCCCCGAGUGGUGGUCGAUAUUAUUGAGCCUAAAACGUCCGUAGCCGGUCUUCUAAAUCCUUGGGUAAAUCGGGCAGCUUAACUGUCCGAAUUCCGGGGAGACUGGGAGACUUGGGACCGGGAGAGGUCAGAGGUACUUCUGGGGUAGGGGUAAAAUCCUGUAAUCCUGGAAGGACCACCGGUGGCGAAGGCGUCUGACUAGAACGGAUCCGACGGUGAGGGACGAAGCCCUGGGGCGCAAACGGGAUUAGAUACCCCGGUAGUCCAGGGUGUAAACGCUACUCGCUAGGUGUCGGCCACGGUGCGACCGUGGUCGGUGCCGUAGGGAAGCCGUGAAGCGAGCCACCUGGGAAGUACGGCCGCAAGGCUGAAACUUAAAGGAAUUGGCGGGGGAGCA
Molecule: ribosomal RNA, 790 nt
Filed under: uncultured archaeon
Lineage: Archaea
Description: bacterial SSU rRNA
Rfam family: Archaeal small subunit ribosomal RNA
Source: RNAcentral